UGGGGGCAACCCUGAUCCAGCCAUGCCGCGUGAGUGAUGAAGGCCUUAGGGUCGUAAAGCUCUUUCGCCUGUGAAGAUAAUGACGGUAGCAGGUAAAGAAACCCCGGCUAACUCCGUGCCAGCAGCCGCGGUAAUACGGAGGGGGUUAGCGUUGUUCGAAAUUACUGGGCGUAAAGCGCACGUAGGCGGACCAGAAAGUUGGGGGUGAAAUCCCGGGGCUCAACCCCGGAACUGCCUCCAAAACUAUUGGUCUAGAGUUCGAGAGAGGUGAGUGGAAUUCCAAGUGUAGAGGUGAAAUUCGUAGAUAUUUGGAGGAACACCAGUGGCGAAGGCGGCUCACUGGCUCGAUACUGACGCUGAGGUGCGAAAGUGUGGGGAGCAAACAGGAUUAGAUACCCUGGUAGUCCACACCGUAAACGAUGAAUGCCAGACGUCGGCUAGCAUGCUAGUCGGUGUCACACCUAACGGAUUAAGCAUUCCGCCUGGGGAGUACGGCCGCAAGGUUAAAACACAAAGGAAUUGACGGGGGCCCGCACAAGCGGUGGAGCAUGUGGUUUAAUUCGAAGCAACGCGCAGAACCUUACCAACCCUUGACAUCCUGGGACCGCCAGAGAGAUCUGGUUUCCACUUCGGUGGCUCAGUGACAGGUGCUGCAUGGCUGUCGUCAGCUCGUGUCGUGAGAUGUUCGGUUAAGUCCGGCAACGAGCGCAACCCACAUCCUUAGUUGCCAGCAGUUCGGCUGGGCACUCUAAGGAAACUGCCCGUGAUAAGCGGGAGGAAGGUGUGGAUGACGUCAAGUCCUCAUGGCCCUUACGGGUUGGGCUACACACGUGCUACAAUGGCAGUGACAAUGGGUUAAUCCCAAAAAACUGUCUCAGUUCGGAUUGUCGUCUGCAACUCGGCGGCAUGAAGUCGGAAUCGCUAGUAAUCGCGUAACAGCAUGACGCGGUGAAUACGUUCCCGGGCCUUGUACACACCGCCCGU
RNAcentral lists this ribosomal RNA (984 nucleotides) under uncultured bacterium. RNAcentral describes it as "bacterial SSU rRNA". It matches the Rfam family "Bacterial small subunit ribosomal RNA", at positions 372 to 1397 of the family's 1533-position model. The record is from RNAcentral.